GGCGGCGUGCUUAACACAUGCAAGUCGAACGGUAAGGCCCUUCGGGGUACACGAGUGGCGAACGGGUGAGUAACACGUGGGUGAUCUGCCCUGCACUUCGGGAUAAGCCUGGGAAACUGGGUCUAAUACCGGAUAGGACCAUGGACUUCACGGUUUGUGGUGGAAAGCUUUUGCGGUGUGGGAUGGGCCCGCGGCCUAUCAGCUUGUUGGUGGGGUAAUGGCCUACCAAGGCGACGACGGGUAGCCGGCCUGAGAGGGUGUCCGGCCACACUGGGACUGAGAUACGGCCCAGACUCCUACGGGAGGCAGCAGUGGGGAAUAUUGCACAAUGGGCGCAAGCCUGAUGCAGCGACGCCGCGUGAGGGAUGACGGCCUUCGGGUUGUAAACCUCUUUCAAUAGGGACGAAGCGCAAGUGACGGUACCUAUAGAAGAAGCACCGGCCAACUACGUG
This 452-nucleotide ribosomal RNA is filed under the name uncultured bacterium. RNAcentral's name for it is "bacterial SSU rRNA". It matches the Rfam family "Bacterial small subunit ribosomal RNA", at positions 38 to 507 of the family's 1533-position model. The record is from RNAcentral.